GUGGUCUUGGACUGAGAAAGCUUGUGGAUUGGAAGAAUGCUGCAUAAAUGAAAUUAAUUUAAAUUUUGCAUUCUAGAUUUGCUAGGUUAAGUGCAAGUAACAAAAACUCUAACUAGCAAUUUUGGGAAUAUUAAACCUAGGAUUUCCAUUAUGUUAAUUGCAGAAGCAUACCGAAAUUGAGAUCUACAAUCCUCUCAUGCUUUACCAAAUUGGUGAUAAGUCUGAUACUGAGUUUUGGUUGGAUCAAUUGCCAGCUCAGGGGAUCCUAGUUGAUCAAAAUAGUUGACAACAGAUGGAUGAAUUUGCGAGAAUCGAUGGCAAAAUCUCUGAUUAUAUUCAUCAGGGCAAGUAGAUUACUAUGCAUCUACCCAUUUUGAUCCUUGGACAUAUAGGGUUUUAGAAUUUGUCAUCUUGAUAUAGUCCCCACUUAGCAACUUUAAGUACACCCUGAUUGGUUUACUUCUUGCUCCAAGGGAGAAAAAUAGAAGUGAAGCAGCUAAAAGUGAGAAUGCAUCUAUCAAAUGACACAAGUAUUGGGGGGGGACUUUAAUAAAAUUAACCAAAAAAAGUCAUCCGUACGUCCAAAAAAGAACGAGGUAGGCUCCAUGAAUGUGCCUCGACUGUGAUUUUCUUAAGGACCCAGCAGAAAAGAACUGGAAAUAACAUCAGUUCGAAGAGGAAAAGUGGCCAUAGGUUCCCAUGAAGGCAUGAUCUCCACUAACCUUCAACAUAACCAGACUCUUGCAUAGAAGUUGACUUUUAUCUGGAAAAAAAAAAAAGACUUGCUAGAGUUGGGGACAUGCCAGUUUUCCAAGGAGUGGAAC
RNAcentral lists this long non-coding RNA (824 nucleotides) under Elaeis guineensis (African oil palm). RNAcentral describes it as "long non-coding RNA (EGUI_LNC011327)". Lineage: Eukaryota; Viridiplantae; Streptophyta; Magnoliopsida; Arecales; Arecaceae. The record is from RNAcentral.